This 72-nucleotide transfer RNA is filed under the name Pantodon buchholzi (freshwater butterflyfish). Its description in RNAcentral is "tRNA-Val". It matches the Rfam family "tRNA". Rfam says of the family: Transfer RNA (tRNA) molecules are approximately 80 nucleotides in length. Their secondary structure includes four short double-helical elements and three loops (D, anti-codon, and T loops). Lineage: Eukaryota; Metazoa; Chordata; Actinopteri; Osteoglossiformes; Pantodontidae. The record is from RNAcentral.
CAGGGUAUGGCUAAAAUAGAAAAGUACCUCACUUACACCGAGAAGAUAUUCGUGCAAGUCGAAUUACCCUGA